AGAGUUUGAUCAUGGCUCAGGACGAACGCUGACGGUGUGCUUUAGGCAUGCAAGUCGAACGAGAAAGCCCUUCGGGGUGAGUAGAGUGGCGAACGGGUGAGUAACACGUGGGCAACCUGCCCCUCGCAGGGGGAUAACCGGAGGAAACUCCGGCUAAUACCCCGUAAGCUUUCAGGGUCGCAUGGCUCUGUAAGGAAAGGUAGCUUCGGCCAUCCGGCGAGGGAUGGGCCCGCGGUGCAUUAGCUAGUUGGUGGGGUAAUGGCCCACCAAGGCGACGAUGCGUAGCUGGUCUGAGAGGAUGAUCAGCCACACUGGGACUGAGACACGGCCCAGACUCCUACGGGAGGCAGCAGCCAGGAAUCUUGGGCAAUGGGCGAAAGCCUGACCCAGCAACACCGUGUGGGCGAUGAAGGCCUUCGGGUCGUAAGGCCCUGUUGAUAGGGACGAAGGGCGAAGGGUUAAUAGCCCCUAGCCUGACGGUACCUUUCGAGGAAGCCCCGGCUAACUACGUGCCAGCAGCCGCGGUAAUACGUAGGGGGCGAGCGUUGUCCGGAAUUAUUGGGCGUAAAGAGCGUGUAGGCGGUUCGGUAAGUCUGCCGUGAAAACCUGAGGCUCAACCUCGGGCGUGCGGUGGAUACUGCCGGGCUAGAGGACGGUAGAGGCGAGUGGAAUUCCCGGUGUAGCGGUGAAAUGCGCAGAUAUCGGGAGGAACACCAGUAGCGAGGGCGGCUCGCUGGGCCGUUCCUGACGCUGAGACGCGAAAGCUAGGGGAGCGAACAGGAUUAGAUACCCUAGUAGUCC
This 801-nucleotide ribosomal RNA is filed under the name uncultured bacterium. RNAcentral describes it as "bacterial SSU rRNA". It matches the Rfam family "Bacterial small subunit ribosomal RNA", at positions 8 to 796 of the family's 1533-position model. The record is from RNAcentral.